GUCUCUGUGGCGCAAUCGGUUAGCGCGAUCGGCUGUUAACUGAAAGGUUGGUGGUUCAAGCCCACCCACGGACG
Molecule: non-coding RNA, 74 nt
Organism: Danio rerio (zebrafish)
Lineage: Eukaryota; Metazoa; Chordata; Actinopteri; Cypriniformes; Danionidae
Source: Rfam